RNAcentral lists this ribosomal RNA (457 nucleotides) under uncultured Curtobacterium sp. Its description in RNAcentral is "bacterial SSU rRNA". It matches the Rfam family "Bacterial small subunit ribosomal RNA", at positions 925 to 1382 of the family's 1533-position model. Lineage: Bacteria; Bacillati; Actinomycetota; Actinomycetes; Micrococcales; Microbacteriaceae. The record is from RNAcentral.
ACGAAGCGGCGGAGCAUGCGGAUUAAUUCGAUGCAACGCGAAGAACCUUACCAAGGCUUGACAUACACCCGGUAACGCCCAGAGAUGGGUGCCCCUUUGUGGUCGGUGUACAGGUGGUGCAUGGUUGUCGUCAGCUCGUGUCGUGAGAUGUUGGGUUAAGUCCCGCAACGAGCGCAACCCUCGUCCUAUGUUGCCAGCGGGUCAUGCCGGGGACUCAUGGGAGACUGCCGGGGUCAACUCGGAGGAAGUGGGGAUGACGUCAAAUCAUCAUGCCCCUUAUGUCUUGGGCUUCACGCAUGCUACAAUGGCCGGUACAAAGGGCUGCGAUACCGCGAGGUGGAGCGAAUCCCAGAAAGCCGGUCUCAGUUCGGAUUGGGUCUGCAACUCGACCCCAUGAAGUCGGAGUCGCUAGUAAUCGCAGAUCAGCAACGCCGCGGUGAAUACGUUCCCGGGCCUU